Molecule: ribosomal RNA, 772 nt
Filed under: uncultured bacterium
Lineage: Bacteria
Description: bacterial SSU rRNA
Rfam family: Bacterial small subunit ribosomal RNA
Source: RNAcentral
AGAGUUUGAUCAUGGCUCAGAACGAACGCUGGCGGCGUGCUUAACACAUGCAAGUCGAGUGCGCGUCUGUAGCAAUACAGAUGGCGCACGGCGCACGGGUGCGUAACACGUGGGUAACCUGCCCUUUAGUGGGGAAUAACCUCGCGAAAGCGAGGCUAAUUCCGCAUAAGAUCCGCAAGGAUGAAAGCCGUAAGGCGCUGAUGGAGGGGCCCGCGCACGAUUAGCUAGUUGGUAGGGUAACGGCCUACCAAGGCUAUGAUCGUUAGCUAGUCUGAGAGGAUGGCCAGCCACACUGGAACUGAGACACGGUCCAGACUCCUACGGGAGGCAGCAGUGGGGAAUCUUGCACAAUGGGCGAAAGCCUGAUGCAGCGACGCCGCGUGGGGGAUGAAGCUUCUCGGAGUGUAAACCCCUUUCGACCCGGACGAAUACCUCGCAAGAGGGGUGACGGUACGGGUAUAAGAAGCCCCGGCUAACUACGUGCCAGCAGCCGCGGUAAGACGUAGGGGGCCAGCGUUGUUCGGAAUUACUGGGUGUAAAGGGUUCGUAGGCGGUGUGGCAAGUCGGGAGUGAAAUUUCUGGGCUCAACUCAGAGACUGCUUCCGAAACUGCUGUGCUUGAGUGUGGGAGAGGCGCGUGGAAUUGCAGGUGUAGCGGUGAAAUGCGUAGAUAUCUGCAGGAACACCCGAGGCGAAAGCGGCGCGCUGGACCACUACUGACGCUGAGGAACGAAAGCUAGGGGAGCAAACAGGAUUAGAUACCCUAGUAGUCC